CCAAGUUCAGAAACACCUGCAUUUUUUCGAACCAUCCAUGAUAACAGAAGUUGCAUUCAUCAUAGAGAAUCAAAAGCCAUUUGAGAUUGUCAACAGAAUUUUAACAGAAUAAUCAAUUUAACAAACUAACUAACUAACAGAGUUUCAACGGUUAACAAAUUUGGUGGGAGAAGAGAUUAACAGAGUUAACGAAAUCACUUCAUAGAAACUCUAUAAAUUGGCAGUUCUCACCAUUGGCUCGAGCCACGAGUUUUCUUCACUUUUUCAAUCUUUCUCUUCACUCUUUCUCUUAUCUCUUCAUUCUGUUCUGCACCCUUCACUCUGCAACCGUAACAACCAUACGCUACCUGCAAUCUUCAGCAUCCAUUGAUUCUGCAAAACUCAGUUUCUUUUUCAUUCUUGUUCAUACUCCCUGCAAAUCUCCAUCUCUCGCCCUUAUUCAACUUCUGCAGAUUUUCACUAACCUGCAUCGCGGAUACACAACGCAUCAACAAUAAUGGUAACCGCAGAAAAAUGAAGAAGAAGAAGGUAGAGGAAGCUCGAAUAAAUUGAAGAAGCGAGACGAAGAGGAAGAGAUGAAACAUUACCUAUGAAAUUUAUUUCGAAGAAUCACUGCGUUGAAUCCUGGUACGUCUUCUGCAGAUAUUCUUUAUUAAGCUAGGUCGCCUUUAUCGGAUACCGAUUUCGUUCGAUCUUGUGUGAGUCCAAGCCUCGCGAAGCUUCCAAUCUCAGAAGUGCCGAAAUCGACAAACAACAUCCUUCACGAACGGGUGGAACGAUGCAAACACGACUGCAGGAAAUGGUUGAAAGAUUCAGAUUGAGAAUGAGAGAUUGUGUAUGGCCUCCGGAUUGUCUUCGCCUUCGAUGGAGAUAUCCAGGUCGCGUUUUAGGAAUAAGUGUUAGCUAGGAUCGGAGUCGUAUUGGACUCCGGUUGCAGUGAUUCGGAGAAGAUGAUGAUGAAUCCGAACCAAUUCGGAUUGUGAUGAUGGCGAAAACGACUUCGAAACAACGCGAUCCAGGUGUGCAGUGAAGACCGUGGAGUUUUGGUGUUGAGAAUGGCUUGGGUCCGUUUUUUUUGGUUUGUAGAGUUUGGGCUUAAGGCCCAAACUUCUUCCAGUUCAUACCUUCAUCCAAGCUUCCACACCUCCCGCCUCUAUUCACACUAAUUAAGGCUUAAUUCCAAUUAAUUUUAAUUAGUUUGAGUUAAUUUUAAUCAGUUUUUCAUACCAGAUUUUUGUACUUGGUUGUGUAGAAUAAUGUGUUAAAUUUAGGAAUAGGUUAAUUAAUUUUGGCUCUUAAUUAAAUUGACUUGUUUUUAG
This 1319-nucleotide long non-coding RNA is filed under the name Lathyrus oleraceus (garden pea). RNAcentral's name for it is "Pisum sativum (pea) long non-coding RNA (PSAT_LNC032500)". Lineage: Eukaryota; Viridiplantae; Streptophyta; Magnoliopsida; Fabales; Fabaceae. The record is from RNAcentral.